Molecule: non-coding RNA, 74 nt
Organism: Phrynosoma platyrhinos (Desert horned lizard)
Lineage: Eukaryota; Metazoa; Chordata; Lepidosauria; Squamata; Phrynosomatidae
Source: the annotation of a GenBank genome assembly
GCCAGCGUGGCGUAGUGGGUUUGAGUGUGAGACUACAACUCUGUAGAUCCUGGGUUAGAUUCCCAGCUCAGCCA